UCCCGGGUGAUGUAAUCGGCAGCAUUUCGGAUUUUGGUUCCGACCGUCCAGGUUCGAGUCCUGGCCCGGGAG
This 72-nucleotide transfer RNA is filed under the name Marinitenerispora sediminis. It matches the Rfam family "tRNA". Rfam says of the family: Transfer RNA (tRNA) molecules are approximately 80 nucleotides in length. Their secondary structure includes four short double-helical elements and three loops (D, anti-codon, and T loops). Further hydrogen bonds mediate the characteristic L-shaped molecular structure. tRNAs have two regions of fundamental functional importance: the anti-codon, which is responsible for specific mRNA codon recognition, and the 3' end, to which the tRNAs corresponding amino acid is attached (by aminoacyl-tRNA synthetases). tRNAs cope with the degeneracy of the genetic code in two manners: having more than one tRNA (with a specific anti-codon) for a particular amino acid; and 'wobble' base-pairing, i.e. permitting non-standard base-pairing at the 3rd anti-codon position. The record is from Rfam by way of RNAcentral. Lineage: Bacteria; Bacillati; Actinomycetota; Actinomycetes; Streptosporangiales; Nocardiopsidaceae.